RNAcentral lists this ribosomal RNA (460 nucleotides) under uncultured bacterium. RNAcentral describes it as "bacterial SSU rRNA". It matches the Rfam family "Bacterial small subunit ribosomal RNA", at positions 1 to 507 of the family's 1533-position model. The record is from RNAcentral.
CAGUAGUCACGAGUUUGAUCAUGGCUCAGAUUGAACGCUGGCGGCAUGCCUUACACAUGCAAGUCGAACGAAGUCUUGGACUUAGUGGCGCACGGGUGCGUAACGCGUGGGAAUCUGCCUUUGGUUCGGAAUAACAGUGAGAAAUUACUGCUAAUACCGGAUGAUGUCUUCGGACCAAAGAUUUAUCGCCCAAAGAUGAGCCCGCGUAAGAUUAGCUAGUUGGUGAGGUAAAGGCUCACCAAGGCGACGAUCUUUAGCUGGUCUGAGAGGAUGAUCAGCCACACUGGGACUGAGACACGGCCCAGACUCCUACGGGAGGCAGCAGUGGGGAAUAUUGGACAAUGGGCGAAAGCCUGAUCCAGCAAUGCCGCGUGAGUGAUGAAGGCCUUAGGGUUGUAAAGCUCUUUUACCAGGGAUGAUAAUGACAGUACCUGGAGAAUAAGCUCCGGCUAACUCCGUG